UACGUAGGGUGCGAGCGUUAAUCGGAUUUACUGGGCGUAAAGCGUGCGCAGGCGGCCCGUUAAGACAGGUGUGAAAUCCCUGGGCUCAACCUAGGAAUUGCGCUUGUGACUGGCGGGCUCGAGUACGGUAGAGGGGGGUGGAAUUCCUGGUGUAGCAGUGAAAUGCGUAGAGAUCAGGAGGAACACCGAUGGCGAAGGCAGCCCCCUGGGACUGUACUGACGCUCAUGCACGAAAGCGUGGGGAGCAAACAGG
Molecule: ribosomal RNA, 253 nt
Filed under: uncultured microorganism
Description: partial 16S ribosomal RNA
Rfam family: Bacterial small subunit ribosomal RNA
Source: RNAcentral